RNAcentral lists this ribosomal RNA (468 nucleotides) under uncultured bacterium. Its description in RNAcentral is "partial 16S ribosomal RNA". It matches the Rfam family "Bacterial small subunit ribosomal RNA", at positions 28 to 507 of the family's 1533-position model. The record is from RNAcentral.
GACGAACGCUGGCGGCGUGCUUAACACAUGCAAGUCGAACGGAAAGGCCCUGCUUUUGUGGGGUGCUCGAGUGGCGAACGGGUGAGUAACACGUGAGUAACCUGCCCUUGACUUUGGGAUAACUUCAGGAAACUGGGGCUAAUACCGGAUAGGAGCUCCUGCUGCAUGGUGGGGGUUGGAAAGUUUCGGCGGUUGGGGAUGGACUCGCGGCUUAUCAGCUUGUUGGUGGGGUAGUGGCUUACCAAGGCUUUGCCGGGUAGCCGGCCUGAGAGGGUGACCGGCCACAGUGGGACUGAGAUACGGCCCAGACUCCUACGGGAGGCAGCAGGGGGGAAUAUUGCACAAUGGGCGGAAGCCUGAUGCAGCAACGCCGCGUGCGGGAUGACGGCCUUCGGGUUGUAAACCGCUUUCGCCUGUGACGAAGCGUGAGUGACGGUAAUGGGUAAAGAAGCACCGGCUAACUACGUG